UAUCUAGAAGGAAGUCAUUUUGAACUAACUUGUUGCAACAGUGGCAUCCUAUUACAGUACCAUGCUGUAUUUCAGUGAGUUCUUUAGUGUGACCUAUUCUUCCACAAAUGUAUGUAAAGGCAGACUGCAUGGCUAGGUGCUUGAUUUAUACACCUGUGGCAAUGGACUGAAUGAAACAACCAAAUUCAAUGAUUAAGAGGAAACAUGCCGCCAAUGGUGAGCGAGCCACUGAUCAUCCGCUGUAAGGUGAACAGCACUGUAAGAGUGCAGUUUCUAGCCCAGGACGCUAACAGGGAUGCAUUCAGCUUCUCUCUGCUCUUCCCAAGACCACCACAGGCCACCAUAGGCAUUGGUGAUGGUGUUCUGGUUUGGACUCCACUCAACAUUCAGCCUGUACUGCUGACUGUGCAGGUCAGUGAUUACAUGACCAGCUCUCUGCUCAGCCCCAUCCUGCAGCUCUGCAACUGUCUUAAUGGAGGAAGCUGUCAGUAUCAGAGCGUGGCUGAGAACCAUUUGCAGGGAAAGUUUCAGGUUGUGGGGUGUCUAUGCCCAGCAGGUUUCAGUGGCAGAUACUGUGGAAAUAGAACAGACGUGUGUAAAGGCAAACCCUGCUUCCCUGCAGUUGACUGCUUCAGUCAAAGAGAGCCAGACAGCUUCACCUGUGGAGUGUGCCCCCCUCCUACUGUCUCCGAACACAAACAAGGUUACAAGUGCUUUGAGAACGAUUUCUGUCUACCUCCUUUUCCCACCCCCUGUCACAAGAUGGCCAACUGCUACAGCACUGGUUAUAACUACACUUGCAGUUGUAAGCCUGGUUUUAUUGGUGAUGGAAAGGAGUGUACAGAUAUAGAUGAGUGUCAGAAUCCUGCAGCCUGCCCUAACGCCAAGUACGAGUGUGUGAACACACCUGGUUCGUCAUACUGCUCCUGCCGCUACCAGAGCAAUGGGGAGUCUGACGGCUGCGGUGAUUCUGCAAAUCCUACAGGUUGGAACAUUUUCAAUGUAUCCAUGGCCUGGAAUGAUCAAAAGACCGGACAGCAGCGACUAAAACAGUUGGAGCAAAUCCUUUCUAUGGGUUUCCAGAAUAAGUUCUACAAUGUCAGUGUUAUGCCCCCUGACUUAGGACCAAACAGUGGGCUGAGUGAGUACAGAGUCAACGUGUCCAGCGACACUCCUCACUGGUACGUGAAGGAUUACAUGAGCCGGGUCGGACGCUACUAUGGCGUCACAGCAACAUACGUGGAAGACCUAGAUGAGUGCAAAGGCAACGAGACUUUGUGUACUAAGCCAGCUGUUUGUUCCAACACCUAUGGAGGUUACAGAUGUGUAUGUAAUGGCACAGACCUGAAGGAGGCACAGUCUUGCAUUUUAGACAGGGGCAGCCUUAACCACACAAGCUUGGCUGCUGGUAAGAAUCUUGAGGAUAAGAAGCCCCUGAUUCUGGGCCUGGUACUGGGCAUCGGCAUCCCCCUCCUGCUGCUGCUCCUUCUGGCCGCUUUGGCCUGCUUCUGCUGCUCCCGCAGGAAAACCAUCACUGGAGACAUUCCUCACUUAGUACCAGUGUAUGUUCAAGGGCAGUUCAGCUCUCACUUAAACUACGAUGACCCUGCCCUGCACUACAAGUGCCACUGCAGCCCACGUAUCCUUGACAACAUCACACCCCGAUACAUUCAACAUCCGCUCAGCCGUCUGCCUCCUGGAGCUCAUACCUAUCACUGUAAUUGUAACUAAGUGCAAAGCUAAAAAGGUAAACUUUUGUAUCAAAUGUAUAUCAUAUUUAUGGCAUGCUCCUUAAAAACGCAUUCAACCUUAUGAAGCACUGGAUGAGUAAAACACAGGUUGCCCAUUGUAUCACUUUCAAGGUAUCACGGUAUUCUGACACUCACUGUUGCUGUCCAAUAAAGUAUUGAACACUUGUCAUCGUAAUGAUUUUUCACCUUUCAAUACAGACGGUAAAUUAUGUAUUUUUUGCAUUCUGUAAUAUGUAUUUAAUACUUCAAGACAGCCCUAGAAGGAAAGAGAUGGCCC
This is a long non-coding RNA of Pygocentrus nattereri (red-bellied piranha), 2028 nucleotides long. The record is from Ensembl. NCBI's taxonomy places the organism in Eukaryota, Metazoa, Chordata, Actinopteri, Characiformes, Serrasalmidae.